Molecule: ribosomal RNA, 253 nt
Filed under: uncultured bacterium
Lineage: Bacteria
Description: partial 16S ribosomal RNA
Rfam family: Bacterial small subunit ribosomal RNA
Source: RNAcentral
UACGUAGGGACCAAGCGUUGUCGGGAAUCAUUGGGCGUAAAGAGCGUGUAGGCGGCUUGUUAAGUCUUGCGUGAAAUCUCGGGGCUCAACCCCGAGCGGUCGUGAGAAACUGGCAGGCUAGAGUGCGGGAGAGGAGAGUGGAAUUCCUGGUGUAGCGGUGAAAUGCGCAGAUAUCAGGAAGAACACCCGUGGCGAAAGCGGCUCUCUGGAACGGUACUGACGCUGAGACGCGAAAGCGUGGGGAGCGAACAGG